This is a small nuclear RNA of Coffea eugenioides, 196 nucleotides long. RefSeq annotates it as U2 spliceosomal RNA. Lineage: Eukaryota; Viridiplantae; Streptophyta; Magnoliopsida; Gentianales; Rubiaceae. The transcript has a single exon. The record is from RefSeq and is a predicted model, not a curated record.
AUACCUUUCUCGGCCUUUUGGCUAAGAUCAAGUGUAGUAUCUGUUCUUAUCAGUUUAAUAUCUGAUACGCGAGCCAUUGGCUUGCAUGAUAUUAAAUUAAUUUUUCUAGGGGAAGAGCUCAAUACAGUGGCUUGCUGCUGAGGCUCUUGUGUGUCGCCUGGGCAUUGCACUGCUGCCUUGGCCUGGCACGCCCCAC